CCUACGGGGGGCUGCAGUCGAGAAUCUUCCGCAAUGGACGAAAGUCUGACGGAGCGACGCCGCGUGCAGGAUGAAGUGCUUCGGCAUGUAAACUGCUUUUAUAGGGGAGGAAGUUUAUUGACGUUACCCUAAGAAUAAGAGGUUGCUAAACUCGUGCCAGCAGCAGCGGUAAUACGAGUGCCUCAAGCGUUAUCCGGAAUCACUGGGCGUAAAGGGUGUGUAGGUGGUCAUAUUAGUCUUUUGUUAAAUUCUUCGGCUUAACCGGGGUCAAGCAA
This 275-nucleotide ribosomal RNA is filed under the name uncultured bacterium. RNAcentral describes it as "partial 16S ribosomal RNA". It matches the Rfam family "Bacterial small subunit ribosomal RNA", at positions 338 to 626 of the family's 1533-position model. The record is from RNAcentral.